CGACACGGGGAGGUAGUGACAAUAAAUACUGAUACAGGGCUCUUUUGGGUCUUGUAAUUGGAAUGAGUACAAUUUAAAUCCCUUAACGAGGAACAAUUGGAGGGCAAGUCUGGUGCCAGCAGCCGCGGUAAUUCCAGCUCCAAUAGCGUAUAUUAAAGUUGUUGCAGUUAAAAAGCUCGUAGUUGAACCUUGGGCCUGGCUGGCCGGUCCGCCUCACCGCGUGUACUGGUCCGGCCGGGCCUUUCCUUCUGGGGAACCUCAUGCCCUUCACUGGGCGUGUUGGGGAACCAGGACUUUUACUUUGAAAAAAUUAGAGUGUUCAAAGCAGGCCUUUGCUCGAAUACAUUAGCAUGGAAUAAUAGAAUAGGACGUGUGGUUCUAUUUUGUUGGUUUCUAGGACCGCCGUAAUGAUUAAUAGGGAUAGUCGGGGGCAUCAGUAUUCAAUCGUCAGAGGUGAAAUUCUUGGAUUGAUUGAAGACUAACUACUGCGAAAGCAUUUGCCAAGGAUGUUUUCAUUAAUCAGUGAACGAAAGUUAGGGGAUCGAAGACGAUCAGAUACCGUCGUAGUCUUAACCAUAAACUAUGCCGACUAGGGAUCGGACGGUGUUAGUAUUUUGACCCGUUCGGCACCUUACGAGAAAUCAAAGUUUUUGGGUUCUGGGGGGAGUAUGGUCGCAAGGCUGAAACUUAAAGAAAUUGACGGAAGGGCACCACCAGGCGUGGAGCCUG
RNAcentral lists this ribosomal RNA (729 nucleotides) under uncultured marine eukaryote. RNAcentral's name for it is "SSU rRNA". It matches the Rfam family "Eukaryotic small subunit ribosomal RNA", at positions 452 to 1185 of the family's 1831-position model. The record is from RNAcentral.